RNAcentral lists this ribosomal RNA (372 nucleotides) under uncultured organism. Its description in RNAcentral is "bacterial SSU rRNA". It matches the Rfam family "Bacterial small subunit ribosomal RNA", at positions 526 to 896 of the family's 1533-position model. The record is from RNAcentral.
CGUAGGGUGCGAGCGUUGCCCGGAUUUAUUGGGGCGUAAAGGGCGCGUAGGCGGCUCUGCACGUCCGUGUGAAAUCGCCCGGCUCAACUGGGCGGGGUCAGCGGAUACGGCGGAGCUCGAGCAAGCUAGGGGGCAAUGGAAUUCCCGGUGUAGUGGUGGAAUGCGUAGAUAUCGGGAGGAACACCAGUGGCGAAGGCGGUUGCCUGGGGCUUUGCUGACGCUGAGGCGCGAAAGCGUGGGGAGCGAUCCGGAUUAGAUACCCGGGUAGUCCACGCCGUAAACGAUGUCGACUAGGUGUCGGGGGUAUCGACCCCCUCGGCGCCGCAGCUAACGCAUUAAGUCGACCGCCUGGGGACUACGGCCGCAAGGCUA